UACAGAGGGUGCAAGCGUUGUUCGGAAUUACUGGGCGUAAAGGGCGCGUAGGCGGCCUGUUAAGUCGAACGUGAAAUCCCCGGGCUCAACCCGGGAACUGCGUCCGAUACUGGCAGGCUUGAAUUCGGGAGAGGGAUGUGGAAUUCCAGGUGUAGCGGUGAAAUGCGUAGAUAUCUGGAGGAACACCGGUGGCGAAGGCGGCAUCCUGGACCAUGACUGACGCUGAGGAGCGAAAGCCAGGGGAGCAAACGGG
RNAcentral lists this ribosomal RNA (253 nucleotides) under uncultured bacterium. RNAcentral describes it as "partial 16S ribosomal RNA". It matches the Rfam family "Bacterial small subunit ribosomal RNA", at positions 524 to 776 of the family's 1533-position model. The record is from RNAcentral.